Molecule: ribosomal RNA, 403 nt
Filed under: Bacteroidota bacterium
Lineage: Bacteria; Pseudomonadati; Bacteroidota
Description: Bacteroidetes bacterium partial 16S ribosomal RNA
Rfam family: Bacterial small subunit ribosomal RNA
Source: RNAcentral
UGGGGAAUAUUGCACAAUGGGGGGAACCCUGAUGCAGCGACGCCGCGUGAACGAAGAAGGUAUUCGUAUCGUAAAGUUCUGUCCUAUGGGAAGAUAAUGACAGUACCAUAGAAGAAAGCUCCGGCUAAAUACGUGCCAGCAGCCGCGGUAAUACGUAUGGAGCGAGCGUUGUCCGGAAUUAUUGGGCGUAAAGGGUACGCAGGCGGUUUAAUAAGUCGAAUGUUAAAGAUCGGGGCUCAACCCCGUAAAGCAUUGGAAACUGAUAAACUUGAGUAGUGGAGAGGAAAGUGGAAUUCCUAGUGUAGUGGUGAAAUACGUAGAUAUUAGGAGGAAUACCAGUAGCGAAGGCGACUUUCUGGACACAAACUGACGCUGAGGUACGAAAGCGUGGGGAGCAAACAGG